Molecule: ribosomal RNA, 253 nt
Filed under: uncultured bacterium
Lineage: Bacteria
Description: partial 16S ribosomal RNA
Rfam family: Bacterial small subunit ribosomal RNA
Source: RNAcentral
UACGGAGGGGGCUAGCGUUGUUCGGAAUUACUGGGCGUAAAGCGCACGUAGGCGGCUUUGUAAGUUAGAGGUGAAAGCCCAGGGCUCAACCCUGGAAUUGCCUUUAAAACUGCAUCGCUUGAAUCAUGGAGAGGUGAGUGGAAUUCCGAGUGUAGAGGUGAAAUUCGUAGAUAUUCGGAAGAACACCAGUGGCGAAGGCGACUCACUGGACAUGUAUUGACGCUGAGGUGCGAAAGCGUGGGGAGCAAACAGG